This is a non-coding RNA of Zonotrichia albicollis (white-throated sparrow), 2375 nucleotides long. The record is from RefSeq and is a predicted model, not a curated record. NCBI's taxonomy places the organism in Eukaryota, Metazoa, Chordata, Aves, Passeriformes, Passerellidae.
CCACCGGGGCCUGGGCCGGUUCUCAGGGGCGGGGGCCGGGGCUAGGCUGGCUCGCAGCUUGCCGCGCGGGGGACGCAGUCCUGAGCCCGGCUCCUCCGCGGCGGUGCUGCCGCCAUCGGCCGCCCCACUGCAGGUGACAUCUCAGGGCCCCUUCGGCGUCACCUUGCCCCGUCGCUUUGCUGGGAGGGUGGAGAGGGAGUGUGGGGGUGAGAUAAGAAAGGAACCCGUCCCAAACCGUAAGGAGCAGCUGAUGCAGGCGUGUGGAAACUCAGUCACUGACGGGCAGGGAAGAGGGGACAUGGGCUUCCAAAUGCAGCAGUGGUUAAUCAGCAAUCUCUCUCUAAAUAUUUUACGUGAGACAGAAGUGUGCUACUGCUCUUCUACUUAUCACUGCUGCUACAAGGCAUUAGUGAAGACCAGAGAGGAGUAGAGGUAUCUCCAAUUCCCCACAGAAUUUCCUUUUUCAGCUGUAUGGAUUGUUGCUUGGAGGCCCUCGUGUUUGCUAACUCAGAUGCUCCCCCCUUCAGCUUCAUAAAAAGACUCUCAGUAUCUGCGUCUUUUCCUUGGCAAAAUCCUAGGAGCACAGCUGAUAACACGAAGAUCCUGGAGCUGAGCAUCUGCUAUUUGAGAUGCAUCCAUGCACCACAGUACACAGAAGUACUUUCCCUCUCCUUAUUUUAUGGCCCAGCUCCAUGAACUGCUGAGAGAAGACAGACGUUGCUCAGUGAGACUCUUCACUUCUUGCCUUAUCUGUGUUUUCCUACUCUAUCCAAAUUUCAAAAUUUACAAAAUAAAAAAAGAAGAAAAAAAUGUAACCACAGAAAAGGAGAUGCGGCAUUUUUCACUUACUCCUCCUAAUUAAGACAGAGUUUACCAGACAGAUUCUGCACUGAUGUAAAGCAUCUUGGUCCAAAAUGUUCUUGUUCACCAUGGAAAGAUUAAUAAGAGUCUAUUGCAGAGAUCUGAAGAAAUUUUUAAAUACCUGUUUUUCCUAUACAGUCAGCUGUCCAAAGUUGAAAAGAGUAUGUGAGUUGAUAAGGAGAGGCAGGGGUGGUCUGGGGUUUGGGUUUUUUCCCCAGAUCUGUUACAGAAACAGGAAAUCGAAUGGGUGGAAAACUGCUGUCAUCAAUGCUGCCCUUCCUCUGCUGAUGGAGAAUAACCAUACCCAGGUUUUGGUCCUGACUUGCUGGGAGUGUGUGCUGUACACCCCGGAUAAAAGGAUUUAUCAUGAAGGGACACUCUACUGGGAGAGCUGGUGUAGAUAGCUCAGUUUGAGAACAUGUAGGCUUCAUCUGCAGUGUGAACUUAGGAAUCUUCAGAGACAAUAAUGUGGCUGAACUGACAGCUAGAUUUUAGGUUGCAGAGGAACCUGCUACAUCUGAAGGGGGAACUAGUUUUGCUUGCAGCAGACUGUUCUGUAUCUGAGCCCUAUCCUCAUUAAGCUCAAGAAUCCUUGAGUCACCCAAAAUCUAGAGAAAAGAAAAAUCCCAAAUGUCUGAGAAAGAAGAGGGCACAGCCUGUGUCCUUGGGUCUAGAAGGCUUCUAAAGGCAUAUCCACUCAUUUGACUGAAAAGUGGAAGGUGUGGCUGUUUCUGGUUAGAGAAAGCCUUUGAGUCAUACAAAUCCAGCAGUUUAAUGAUUUGAUCAACAAUCAGGAGAGAUUGAAUGUCUGAAAAAACAUCCAGACACAAAGGUUGAUGACGUUUAUCUGGUCUUGGACUUCCACCUACCCUGUGUCGGUUACUCAUGGGAAUAUCAAUAAGAGAAGGAGAGUCCGUGUUCCCAGAGAGAGUUCCUGUUUGCAAUAUGCUCUCUUCUUUCCAAGUGCUUCAUAAAACGAUUGCCUCAACCCAGUACUAAUGGAUUAUAGAUUAAGCAGAAAUGAAAGGGCACAGGACUGUUCUUUCAUAUUGUCUCCCAAUUUAUCUUGCUUAAGCAAUAGAUAAUAAUUGACAGAAGCAAUUGAAGAGUCACAGUCUGAUUUGCUUUUAUCACUAGAAGUCUGCACUAUGUUUAUGUUAUCUUUUGUUUAGGGAGGCGGUUCUAUGAUCAUCUGGGGUUUGGGGCAGAAUCAUUAUGUUCUUACUGACAUUCCAAUGGACAGUUGCAAGUUGGCCCCACUGCAGUUCUCUGGAAUGGAUUUCAGUGCAGUACCUCUGAGGAGGGGCAAAGUGACUUUUAACCUCAGAGCUCUAAAUUCAAGGUUCUGUUUGAUUAUAUUCUUUUACUGUUUGUUUAACUUUAGUAUUCAUCUAACAAAAUGGGAUAAAUACCUUUGUGUCAGCAUAAACUAUCUUGGGAUACUUAAAAAGUGCAAAGUCCAUGCAUAAAACAUUUGAAAAGUUUUUUUUUUCCAUUAAAGAAAAGGCAUCCAG